This 497-nucleotide ribosomal RNA is filed under the name uncultured bacterium. Its description in RNAcentral is "partial 16S ribosomal RNA". It matches the Rfam family "Bacterial small subunit ribosomal RNA", at positions 28 to 507 of the family's 1533-position model. The record is from RNAcentral.
GACGAACGCUGGCGGCGUGCCUAAUACAUGCAAGUAGAACGCUGAAGCGAGGAGCUUGCUCUUCUUGGAUGAGUUGCGAACGGGUGAGUAACGCGUAGGUAACCUGCCUUGUAGCGGGGGAUAACUAUUGGAAACGAUAGCUAAUACCGCAUAACAAUGGAUGACACAUGUCAUUUAUUUGAAAGGGGCAAUUGCUCCACUACAAGAUGGACCUGCGUUGUAUUAGCUAGUAGGUGAGGUAAUGGCUCACCUAGGCGACGAUACAUAGCCGACCUGAGAGGGUGAUCGGCCACACUGGGACUGAGACACGGCCCAGACUUCUUAGGGAGGCAGCAGUAGGGAAUCUUCGGCAAUGGGGGCAACCCUGACCGAGCAACGCCGCGAGAGUGAAGAAGGUUUUCGGAUCGUAAAGCUCUGUUGUAAGUCAAGAACGGGUGUGAGAGUGGAAAGUUCACACUGUGACGGUAGCUUACCAGAAAGGGACGGCUAACUACGUG